GUGAAAAAGGCCAAAAGGGGGAGUUGUUUUGAGUACAGUACAAGGCGACGAAAAAGUGAAAAAUAGAAUGCAAAUUUAGAAGACGGAUGGGGCACUGGACCGGACUACCGGAGCAUUGCUAUUGCAGAUUCGGAGUGGGAUACGGGCACUCCGGUUUCAGAUCUGGCAGGACCCCUCUCUGCCUGUGGUGCCUCCAUUCCAUUUCAUCUCCCCCAGUAUCUUAUUUAAAAAGUUCCGAGGGAGGUGGUCUGAAGGAAAGGAAGUGAUGAUAAAGUGGUAAAGGAAAUUCAGUGCAAAAAGAUUCAGUACUGGGUGCAGUAUCAAAUAUUCCCCCAGCCAAUAUGGGGGUGGGGGAGUGGGUCUGGUGCCCCAGAUUCCAGAACAGGGACUCCACCAUCGCAGCGCAGGCGCACCCCUCCUUUUCCCCCAACCCAACUCGCAGCAGCCACGGUGGUGGUGGUGGCUCAGGCUUGGCUUGGCUUGGCUAGCUAGUGGAUUGAUUGAUUGAUCACGAGGCGCAGGUGAACCGGGUUGCUGCUGGUGGCCUGGCCGCCGCUCUUCUCCUCCGCCUUCCCUUCCCUCACCGCCCACCACCCGCUGCUCUCCUUCUCUCUUCGCGGAGCAGGCUGGGAUUCCCUUCCCCGGCGGUGGCGGCAGGGGGAGGAGCUUCGCCUGGGAGAGGAGCUAGGGCAGGAGGAGGAAGAGGGGCGCAGCAUCCGGCAUGGCGAGCGAGGAGCUAGUCCACAAGGUCCAGGCUCUUAUAGAGCGCUGCCUUCAGGUGUAUAUGAACCAGAAAGAAGUAAUCGAUACCCUCUCUCAACACGCAAAGAUAGAGCCUUGUAUUACUGAACUUGUUUGGCGACAACUUGAGCAACAGAAUCCUCUAUUUUUCAAGGCAUACUAUAUGAGGCUAAUGCUUAAGAAUCAGAUAAUGGUCUUCAACAAGCUUCUUGAGGAUCAGCUUCAGAUCAUGAAUAAAGAAUUUCCUCCAGGGAUCCCUUCUAUGUCUCUUCCUAAUGGCUCUAACUCCAACCAAUUAAAGCAAAAUUCAUGCUUUUUGCCGGAGACUGCUCCUGGAUCUGCAGUGCCAAAUGGUAUAAUGCACAAUGGAAGUUCAAGUGGUAUAAUAAAUGGCACGCCAUCUGGUGAUCAAUUACUCAAUGCUGGUAAAGACUUGCAUGGUCUUCACAGUGGAAUUGAUGCUUCAACUAGUCUGCAGUCGGACCAGAAUGCAACUGCUGUCCUGUUUGGUGACAAUGGGGCAAGUGCGACAAUAAAGACAGAGUCUGGCUAUUCAAGUAAUGCUGAUUUUGCUUUCUGCGGGAAUACUUUCCUGGAAUCAUGCCAGUCAAUAGGUGAUGCAUCUGGUGGUGGAUCCUUCAGUAGCUCAGAGUUGAAUGGGCAACCACUGAAUGAUUCGAUUUUGGAUAUGGAAUCAUCAUCAUUUAGCUUCUUGAACCAGAUUCCGCAAAGUUUCAUCUUUUCAGACUUGGCAGAGGAUUUCAGCCAAAGUGCAGAAAUGACGCCAUUCCUCACUUCUGAAACAAAUAACUUCUCUGAUUCAACUGGAGGAGAUCAUACAGGUUGAGCAGCCAUGCACAGUGCACCAACCAUCUGUACAUACUCUUAUGCGCAGGCAAACCUGCAUUGAUGGAGAACUUGAGGACCUUUUGAGUUAGCUGUCUCUUUUCUAGUUUCUCGUCUUAUAUUGUGAUGAUAGGGUUGACUGCUGCUACCUCAUCACAGGGUAUCCUGAGUCGGUCUUCCAGUAUGCUUUCUGAUGGUAUUGUCGCGGUGCUGUACUGCUGUGUACAUUGUCGUGCUUCUGUAAUAUAAUGGUUAGGCGCAGCGGUGUAUGCAUCUGCGUUUUAUUGGGUUGUCUCACUAUCUGACUUGGCAUGGCAUGAUUGAUGAAAACUGAAAAUAAAAAAACCUGCUGAUGUUUCAUACACCUCAAUCUCUCUUGACAUACCCCAAUUUCGAGGAUAGAAACUGCCCAUGAGCUUCUUGGAAUUUGAAAGACAGAGACUA
RNA transcript from Setaria italica (foxtail millet), 2031 nucleotides. RefSeq lists it as uncharacterized. NCBI's taxonomy places the organism in Eukaryota, Viridiplantae, Streptophyta, Magnoliopsida, Poales, Poaceae. The transcript has 9 exons. The record is from RefSeq and is a predicted model, not a curated record.